AGGAAGGUUCCAUUAUUGGUAAGAUGGGUUGAGCUGUAAACUCAACAACAAAAGUUUGUAAAGGUUCGAAUCCUUUUCUUCCUA
Molecule: transfer RNA, 84 nt
Filed under: Tuber umbilicatum
Lineage: Eukaryota; Fungi; Ascomycota; Pezizomycetes; Pezizales; Tuberaceae
Also listed under: 1 other name
Description: tRNA-Tyr
Rfam family: tRNA
About the family: Transfer RNA (tRNA) molecules are approximately 80 nucleotides in length.
Source: RNAcentral